GUCCACGCCGUAAACGUUGGGCGCUAGGUGUGGGCUCUUUCCACGAGUUCCGUGCCGCAGCAAACGCAUUAAGCGCCCCGCCUGGGGAGUACGGCCGCAAGGCUAAAACUCAAAGGAAUUGACGGGGCCCGCACAAGCGGCGGAGCAUGCGGAUUAAUUCGAUGCAACGCGAAGAACCUUACCAAGGCUUGACAUGGGCAGAAAUCCGGCAGAGAUGUCGGGUCCGUAAGGGCUGCUCACAGGUGGUGCAUGGUUGUCGU
Molecule: ribosomal RNA, 260 nt
Filed under: uncultured bacterium
Lineage: Bacteria
Description: partial 16S ribosomal RNA
Rfam family: Bacterial small subunit ribosomal RNA
Source: RNAcentral